RNAcentral lists this ribosomal RNA (227 nucleotides) under uncultured bacterium. Its description in RNAcentral is "partial 16S ribosomal RNA". It matches the Rfam family "Bacterial small subunit ribosomal RNA", at positions 383 to 607 of the family's 1533-position model. The record is from RNAcentral.
CUGAACCAGCCAAGUAGCGUGAAGGAUGACUGCCAUAUGGGUUGUAAACUUCUUUUAUAAAGGAAUAAAGUCGGGUAUGCAUACCCGUUUGCAUGUACUUUAUGAAUAAGGAUCGGCUAACUCCGUGCCAGCAGCCGCGGUAAUACGGAGGAUCCGAGCGUUAUCCGGAUUUAUUGGGUUUAAAGGGAGCGUAGAUGGAUGUUUAAGUCAGUUGUGAAAGUUUGCGG